ACUAUGCUACAAAAUCCCAUUCUUCUCCAUCAUAUCAUCCUAUUCCCAGUUUUCCAUUCAUUUGAAGAUUUCAUUUACUGUCAGAAUUUGGCCUUCAAAAUGGGUUUAACACAGGCGAAGAUGGUGCUGCUGUUCAUAGCCAUGAUGGUCCUCAUCUCAUUUGCUGCUGCCAUUGUUACCCCUCACGAUUUUAUUCUCAAACCUUCCAAUCGAGGACGAAAGAUUCUAGGGUAUUAUGACCCUGGUAGCACAUAUGGCCCACCAAGUGGAGGGGGAGGCGAUCCAUGCUGUUAAUAAGAAGCUACCGAGAAUACAAUAAGAAGGAUCAUAUAUAGUAUACGAGAAUAAGAAGUUAGUGUGUUGUACGUGAGUAUAUGCAUUUUUCCUUUUUUAUAUAAUAUUGAUGUUAGGUUUGGUAGGAAUAUUAUACUUUGAAUGUGAGAUAUGAUAUUUGUUGUUUGAAGCAAGACUAAUUUAUACUUUGAAUCCAACGUGAAAAUCAAAUAUAAAUCCAUUUUUAUCAA
Gossypium raimondii (Peruvian cotton) is the source of this 524-nucleotide long non-coding RNA. RefSeq lists it as uncharacterized. NCBI's taxonomy places the organism in Eukaryota, Viridiplantae, Streptophyta, Magnoliopsida, Malvales, Malvaceae. The record is from RefSeq and is a predicted model, not a curated record. The transcript has 2 exons.